UAUAAUUUAGUAUAGUAUGUACAUGGAUUUUUGAGGUCUAAGGGGAUAGUUUAAAUCUAUUAAUUAUAA
Molecule: transfer RNA, 69 nt
Filed under: Oryctes nasicornis
Lineage: Eukaryota; Metazoa; Arthropoda; Insecta; Coleoptera; Scarabaeidae
Description: tRNA-Gln
Source: RNAcentral